GUGGGUCUGGCCAACCCAGAGAAAUGGCUGGUUGGGCACCCGUGGCAGCCCCCAGCCCUCCUUCCCCCACUAGCAGCCGCCGACGACGCCGCUGGGAAGGGUCCGGAAUCAGGAUCAGGAACCACCGGGUAGCUGCAAAGGUCAAAGGUCAGACAUGGGUUUCCUGCCCACCCCUGGGAACUUCCUUCUUCUCAACUCUACACUCGCCUCACUGAGCACCACCCUGGAGUACCCCUCCGCUCUGUCAACGACCCCUCCCCACUCUGUUACCCUGGCUAAUGGGGGGACGGGUCCCCACGCCCCAGCCUUCACAUUGCCCUACAGAGGACAGCAAUUGCAUGAUUGUCACCUGUCCGGAGUCCAGCCUCCUUUCCGGCUCCCUGCUCCUGUUCC
RNAcentral lists this long non-coding RNA (393 nucleotides) under Homo sapiens (human). Its description in RNAcentral is "non-protein coding lnc-PLVAP-1:1". The record is from RNAcentral. Lineage: Eukaryota; Metazoa; Chordata; Mammalia; Primates; Hominidae.